Amphiprion ocellaris (clown anemonefish) is the source of this 477-nucleotide long non-coding RNA. NCBI's taxonomy places the organism in Eukaryota, Metazoa, Chordata, Actinopteri, Pomacentridae. The record is from Ensembl.
GGUUUUCUGAGGAUUCUCUUCAGCGGGAUUUUCAUCCAUCUGCCACUUUGUGUUGAUGUCCAUCCACGUCCACAUCUCCAUCACACUGGGAUCAGCCAUCACCUCGGACCGUCUCGCCAGACAUUCAUUAUAAGAGGGCGGGAGGAAGAAUCUACCGUGACCCCCAGCUUCCACAGCGACCCAUCCAGCCGUGACCCCUCAAUGAAACACCGAGCUUCCUGGAAAACACUUGCUGUCUACUCUGGAAAUGAGAGCACAUUUAUCUUCUAGUCAGAGAUCUUCUCAGUUCAAAACAAAACAUAUUGAUGACACUUGUCCACGGAGCAGGACGCGACCUUCCAGGCCAGCCAAGGAGAUAAACAGAGACAAAAACUGAAGAGAUCGGAAAUGUGUCUCAUGUUUGUUCCCCAGAUUAAUAUGUGUGGCUUGUCACUUGAUGCUGCAUGUUUCAGAAGUUACAAACGUUGUAUAAGUAAG